Long non-coding RNA from Octopus sinensis (East Asian common octopus), 107 nucleotides. RefSeq lists it as uncharacterized. The transcript is spliced from 3 exons. Lineage: Eukaryota; Metazoa; Mollusca; Cephalopoda; Octopoda; Octopodidae. The record is from RefSeq and is a predicted model, not a curated record.
GUUGACUAAUUUCAUAAUCAUUGUUUAUUUGAACAGCAGCUUGGUCAUUUCCUGUCAGUGUGUACUUCAUGACAUACUUAAUUGACCUUACUCAGGCAAUGAUUUCA